UUUGGGCCCAUGGAAGAGACCGUAAUCAGCAGUUUCUUCGGUAUCACAACAAAAUAUCCACGACACGUUAUUUGGGACGAAAACGUUUGGUUAAAAGACGGAAAACAAUAAGUAUAGACAACUUCAAUAAUUUAUAUAAGCAAAAUAUUGGUGACAGAAAAGUAUUAGCAGAUAUAUUGGCAAAUAAACGAAAAAAAAAAAGUUGUAUUCCACGAUUGAAACAAUUCUCUUUCUAAAACUUCUUUUAUCUUAAUGAAAGUACUAUAAUUUGGUAAAAGUGAUCCACGUUACAACUGAGCACUAUAUUCUGGAGAAGUAUCUUCUAGAGUGGUCAGGUUAGGAGUGACGAUGCUCUGGGUGUUCCAGGCGUAUAUAUUAUUUGUCGAAAAUGCUGAUCUUCUGUCCUGCACUACGUUUAGGCAGCUGCAUGCAAUUAGUGGAAAAAAUGCAUUUAUGAAGUUUAUUUAAGAAAUUGUAGAUUGGAGAAUUCGGAUUAGGAUAUUCAUUCGGGAAAUUGUAGAUAGAGGCUAAGAACCUCUUAAGUGUUCCCUUUUUUAACAUAUGUAAGAACUAAGGUACUGAGGUUGCUAGAUAAUGAAGGUUAUUUGCUAAGAAUCGGUACGUUUUCAUACUUAGUUGCAAUACCGUUGAUUACUUUUUUUUUAUUAAGCAUUUUUAAACCUGGUGGGUUUAAUUUGCAUACAAAUGGUAGGAUACAAGGCGGUUACCUUAAUCUUAAAUUCUUAUCGAACAUUUUUCUAGAAAUUCACUAAUGAUCACAAUGGAUUGUUUCUCUAGUCUGGCCAAAAAUUAUCCAGAAUAGUACGGUGGAAGAGUCACUGGCGCGAGUUGGGAUCAUGAGCUCGCCAAGCUGUAAAUGUGAACACGAGGAGAAGAAUAUCGAACACGUCAUGUGGGAGUGUUCAUUGUAUAAUGGGGCUAGACAGAUAAUGAUUAAAAAAUUAUGCGACCGUUGAUUACUUGUAUGAAAUAGUUGAGGCUAUAUCAAACAAUAAUGCAUAGAAAUUUUAUUGAAUCUGAAGCCAGCAAACAGAAUAUCCACAAUUUGUCGUCAACCAAUUACCAAUGUUCCUGGCAAUUAUGAGAUGUGAUUAUGCGAAAACGAAACGCUUAAAUCGUUGGUGAUGUAAUAUUGAAAGAGAAGUGUACAAUCCAAGGAGAAGAAUCCGCACGCUGUGAAUUCAACUUUCUUGUGUAUUUGUUCGACCGCGAAAUUGUUCAACUGUAAUAUAAAAAAUGACAAGAUCACUUAAUUCUAGUAGUACUUGGGGAAAAGGAUUCUGUACCUGAUAUUCUAUUUCCCCGUUGGGUGCAUACAUUUCCAUAACAUCGUAAAUAAUAUCAGCUGUUUUGUGCAUCUACGAUAAUUCCACCGGUUAGCAAAUUUGUUAAAGUUUUUGGGGAGGCAAUAUAUAGAAUAUAUUCUGUAGAAUACAUAGAAUAUAUACAGAAUAGAUUCUAUAGAAUAUAUAGAAUAUAUACAGAAUAUAUUCUGUAGAGUACAUAGAACAUAUUCUAUACAAUGAAUACAGAAUAAUUUCUAUAUUUGAAACACAAUAAAUUUUAUAAAUUAAGCAUACCUCUUUAUUAAAUAUCCUCACACUCCUACUUAAUCUGAUAGUAGGAUAAAUGCACAGGAAAAACCAGAAUAUAACAUUAAGAUAAAAAGCAUUCACCGUCAUUCCCUUUUCUUGUACAAUGCUGAUAAUAAAAAAGUAAAAAGUAGUAAUGCUCGCACAAAAACUAUGCACCACUGUCAAUAAAGUUGGAAAUGAAUAAAAAUCGGCGACGAGACAAGAAAUUUUGUACAGUUUAUUCCGCAAUUUUUUAAACAUUGUAAAAUUAUGAUUAACCAAACGAUUGUUUGCCGCAAUCCUGACAAGAUGAACACUCUCGAUAUUUGAAAUUGGACAUUUAAAAAUCGAUGGAAGAAGUUCAUUCAGAUUCUUUAAUCUUCGUCUUAAACUGUCGACAACGGAGCCAUAUUGCAUAACAACUGAUGUCAUAAUUAGAACAGAAAAUAUAUUUGCAAUACUCGUUCGUGAUUGUUGAAUGUACGUUGAGGUAGUGAUAGCUCCACACCACAAGAAUGAAAUUAAGAAAAUUGGUAACCAAGUGUCGAUGUUUGUAAAUCGAUUUGUCUUCUCAUUGUCAAAUGUAUUGCCAAAUUCACUCGUAAAUAUUUCAUCAAAUUUGCUGAGCUGUUUUGAGAUAUCAACACUGUGUUGUUGAUAGUGAGUGUAAUAAACAAUCAAAAUUAUUGAAAAUAUAUUUCCAAGUGUUGUCACUGUGGCUACAAUCAUCGUGAGAACUGAGUCAUUAGGAUAUUGAUAAUCGAUCAAAUAUGGUCUGACAAUGACAGUUAUUCCGACAAAUAUGAGGGCCAAUAAAAUAUUGUAUGCACAUCCCAGUCUGGAGUAUAUGAUUCUGAAGCUGACUCCCGACUUUUUUGACAAUCGAGGCAAAAUCUCGACGCUGUAGGGGGCUAGGCCCAGUAUGAAGGAAAUCAUAUGGGUGAAUUUGAAGAUUAGGAGACUUUUCUUCGAGUACAUUGUUGGAAAUGUAUAAAUGUAAAUCACACUGAGGAAUUUACUAACGUGAAUAAUUUCUCGAUGCGCAGAACUGACUCGAUGUGACCUGAAUCGAUCAACAGGAUUGAAGUAGAAAUGCAAUGGUGACAAUGAAAGCUGAUAAGGACAAAGACGUUGGGGCGUGGGCAGAAGUAUCGAUAUGUGACUGCCCGAUUAAUGGGUCUGUAAUCGAUAUUUUUUGGGCCGAUGUGUCGAACAUAUAUAUUGAUAAUUAACCCAUCCAUAUUCACACAUUAUGAUAUUUUCGUAUGUUGAACAUCAAAGUGUUCAGCAAAGUAUUUAAAAAAAUAAAGAACGAACAAAACAAAUUCCUUCAAAAAUCAUUUAUUUCCCUGAAAUUUUCCUAAUCCUUGAACAUAAGGAAUCCACAAUAUGUCUCAUCCCUAGACGUUAUGUCCUUCAUACAAAAAAAUAGGCAGGA
Diachasmimorpha longicaudata is the source of this 3033-nucleotide long non-coding RNA. RefSeq lists it as uncharacterized. The record is from RefSeq and is a predicted model, not a curated record. The transcript is spliced from 3 exons. Lineage: Eukaryota; Metazoa; Arthropoda; Insecta; Hymenoptera; Braconidae.